UGGGGAAUAUUGCACAAUGGGCGAAAGCCUGAUGCAGCAACGCCGCGUGAGUGAUGAAGGCCUUCGGGUUGUAAAGCUCUGUCUUUUGGGACGAUAAUGACGGUACCAAAGGAGGAAGCCACGGCUAACUACGUGCCAGCAGCCGCGGUAAUACGUAGGUGGCAAGCGUUGUCCGGAUUUACUGGGCGUAAAGGAUGCGUAGGCGGAUUUUUAAGUGAGAUGUGAAAUACCCGGGCUUAACUUGGGUGCUGCAUUUCAAACUGGGAAUCUAGAGUGCGGGAGAGGAGAAUGGAAUUCCUAGUGUAGCGGUGAAAUGCGUAGAGAUUAGGAAGAACACCAGUGGCGAAGGCGAUUCUCUGGACCGUAACUGACGCUGAGGCAUGAAAGCGUGGGUAGCAAACAGGAUUAGAUACCCUGGUAGUCCACGCCGUAAACGAUGAGUACUAGGUGUAGGAGGUAUCGACCCCUUCUGUGCCGCAGUUAACACAAUAAGUACUCCGCCUGGGAAGUACGAUCGCAAGAUUAAAAAGCUCAAAUUGAAUUGACGGGGGUCAUAGCUGUUUUUCCCU
RNAcentral lists this ribosomal RNA (569 nucleotides) under uncultured bacterium. RNAcentral describes it as "partial 16S ribosomal RNA". It matches the Rfam family "Bacterial small subunit ribosomal RNA", at positions 355 to 1376 of the family's 1533-position model. The record is from RNAcentral.